UACGGGGGGAGCAAGCGUUGUUCGGAUUUACUGGGCGUAAAGGGCGCGUAGGCGGCCACCGCAAGUCGACUGUGAAAUCUCCGGGCUUAACUCGGAAAGGUCAGCCGAUACUGCGGGGCUAGAGUAUGGUAGGGGCAGAGGGAAUUCCUGGUGUAGCGGUGAAAUGCGUAGAGAUCAGGAAGAACAUCGGUGGCGAAGGCGCUCUGCUGGACCAUAACUGACACUCAGGGACGAAAGCUAGGGGAGCGAACAGG
RNAcentral lists this ribosomal RNA (254 nucleotides) under uncultured bacterium. RNAcentral describes it as "partial 16S ribosomal RNA". It matches the Rfam family "Bacterial small subunit ribosomal RNA", at positions 524 to 776 of the family's 1533-position model. The record is from RNAcentral.